RNAcentral lists this ribosomal RNA (255 nucleotides) under uncultured prokaryote. RNAcentral's name for it is "partial 16S ribosomal RNA". It matches the Rfam family "Bacterial small subunit ribosomal RNA", at positions 525 to 777 of the family's 1533-position model. The record is from RNAcentral.
ACGGGGGGAGCAAGCGUUGUUCGGAUUUACUGGGCGUAAAGGGCGCGUAGGCGGCCAGCGCAAGUCAGUUGUGAAAUCUCCGGGCUUAACCCGGAACGGCCAAGUGAUACUGUCGCGCUAGAGUGCGGAAGGGGCAAUCGGAAUUCUCGGUGUAGCGGUGAAAUGCGUAGAUAUCGAGAGGAACACCUGAGGUGAAGACGGGUUGCUGGGCCGACACUGACGCUGAGUGCGCGAAAGCCAGGGGAGCAAACGGGA